Molecule: unclassified non-coding RNA, 148 nt
Organism: Callithrix jacchus (white-tufted-ear marmoset)
Lineage: Eukaryota; Metazoa; Chordata; Mammalia; Primates; Cebidae
Rfam family: Metazoan signal recognition particle RNA
About the family: The signal recognition particle (SRP) is a universally conserved ribonucleoprotein. It is involved in the co-translational targeting of proteins to membranes. The eukaryotic SRP consists of a 300-nucleotide 7S RNA and six proteins: SRPs 72, 68, 54, 19, 14, and 9.
Source: Ensembl
GCCAGGUGUGGUGGCGUGUGCCUGUAAUCCCAGCUACUCGGGAGGCUGAGGCAGAAGAAUCGCUUGAACCCAGGAAGUGGAGGUUGCAGUGAGCCGAGAUCACGCCACUGCACUCCAGCCUGGGAAACACAGUGAGACUCUGUCUCAU